Molecule: ribosomal RNA, 240 nt
Filed under: uncultured bacterium
Lineage: Bacteria
Description: partial 16S ribosomal RNA
Rfam family: Bacterial small subunit ribosomal RNA
Source: RNAcentral
AGCGGCGGACGGGUGAGUAACGCGUGGGUAACCUGCCUCAUACAGGGGGAUAACAGUUGGAAACGGCUGCUAAUACCGCAUAAGCGCACAGCACCGCAUGGUACGGUGUGAAAAACUCCGGUGGUAUGAGAUGGACCCGCGCCUGAUUAGGUAGUUGGUGGGGUAACGGCCUACCAAGCCGACGAUCAGUAGCCGACCUGAGAGGGUGACCGGCCACAUUGGGACUGAGACACGGCCCAA